Molecule: long non-coding RNA, 1345 nt
Organism: Aethalodelphis obliquidens (Pacific white-sided dolphin)
Lineage: Eukaryota; Metazoa; Chordata; Mammalia; Artiodactyla; Delphinidae
Exons: 2
Source: RefSeq, a predicted model, not a curated record
ACAAACAGGAGCCCACUGGAAAAUGACAGCCUGGGAAGGAGGUGUGUUCUCUAUAGCUUCAUUGUCAGACCUUCUGCCUGCUGAAGCCGUAAAUGGGGUCUGGGGAAAAUAGGAGCCGAAUGGAAGGUGACAGCCUGGGAAGGAGGUGUUGUGUCCAUAGAUUCAGUGUCAGAGCUGCUACCUGCUGAAGUACUGAUAACGGCUGAAGCCCUAAAUGGGGGGCUCAGGAAAACAGGAGCCAAAUGGAAAAAGACAACCUGCGAAAGAAGUGUGGUGUCCAUAGGUUCAGUAUCAGAACUUCUACCUGCUGAAGCUAUAAAUGGGUGGCUGUGGAAAACAGGAGCCAAAUGGAAAAUGACAGCCUGGGAAGGAGGUGUGUUGUCCAUAGGUUCUGUGUCAGAGCUUCUGCCUGUUGAAGCCAACAAUGGGAGGAUGGGGAAAGCAGGAGCCGAAUGGAAAAUGACAGCCAGAGGAGGAGGUGUGUUGUCCAUAGGUUCAUUGUCAGGGUUUCAACCUGUUGAAGUACCCAUGACGGCUGAAUCCGUAAAAGGGGGGCUGAGUAAACCAGGAGCAGAAUGGAAAAUGACAUCCUGGGAAUGAGGUGUGGUGUCCAUAGGUUCAGUGUCAGAGCUUCUGCCUGCUGAAGCCGUCGAUUGGGGUUCGGGAAAACAGGAACCGAAUGGAAAAUGUCAGCCUGGGAAUGAACUGUGUUGUCCACAGUUUCAGUGUCAGAGCUCCUGCCUCUGGAGGCCAAAAAUGGGGGCCUGGAAAAAAAAACAGCCGAAUGGAAAAUGACAGCCUCGGAAGGCGGUGUGAUGUUCAUAGGUUCAGUGUCAGAGCUUCUGCAAGCUGAAGCCGUAAAUGGGGUCUGGGGAAAACAGGAGCCGAAUGGAAAGUGACAGCCUGGGAAGGAGGUGUGUUGUCCAUAGGUUCAGUGUCAGAGCUUCAACCUGUUGAAGUACCUAUGACGGCUGAAUCCGUAAAAGUGGGACUGAGGAAACAGGAGCAGAAUGAAAAAUGACAGCCUGGGAAGGAGGUGUGGUGUCCAUAGGUUCAGUGUCACAACUUCUGCCUGCUGAGGCCGUAAAUUGGGGGGCUGGGGAAAACAGGAGCCGAAUGGAAGAUAACAGCCUGGGAUGGAGGUGUUGUGUCCAUAGGUUCAGAGUCAGAGCUGCUACGUGCUGAAAUACCGAUGACGGCUGAAGCCCUAAAUGGGGGCUCAGGAACACAGGAUCCGAAUGGAAACUGACAGCCUGGGAUGGAGGUGUUUUGUCCAUAGAUUCAGUGUCAGAGCUUCUGCCUGCUGAAGCCGUAAAUGGGGGCUGGGGAAAACAGGAACCGAAUG